GUCAGCAGCAGAGAUCUGUGGCACGCCACCCCGCUGCCAAGCUGAUACCCAGAAAGCCACGGAGCAAUCUUCCUCUUUGUUUUACAAAUAGGUACAGCCUUUUGAAGCAGGAUCGGUUGUAACAUAUUUAUUGCAAGAAUGAAAGACAAAAACCAGAAGUCUUUGCCAAGAGCAAGUGAAAUGGGCAUGCCUUUCAAACAGCUACCACAGGACCGAUUACCUUUCCAAGUAAUUAAACAUUGUGAAAGGUUAUUAACGUGCUGAUAAUAGACAGCUUUGCAAACUGCCAGCACAGCACGAUCUAGCAGACGGCGCUCAGCAGAGAGCUGGAGCCCUCGCUCCCUGGGGGGCUUGGCAGAGCCCCAGCACCCCGAGAGCUGCAUGUAACUCAGUCAGGCCGGGCUGGACGCAGCCACCCCAGACCCACGUCUGAACGGUGGCAGGGCUCUCCCUUGCUGGCAGAGGAGCAGGGAAAGGUGGUCUCUGGGCAUCCUCCCAGUGCUCCCCCCAGGCAAAGCAGCAGGUGUCUGCCAAAGCCCGGGCCUGCCCAUGCAGGUUACCAACUAUUGUUUCUCUUCAAACCAACUUGCGUCCACAAACAACCUCUCCUGAUGUGAAUUCUCUGGUAUUUUAGCGUGUGUUAUUAAACCCGCUUGGAAAGCGGGCUGAGCUGUAGGGUGGGUUUGUGGCAACCAAGCAGGUGGGGAUGUAUGCGGGGAUGCAGAUAGGGAUGCAAGUAAGGAUGCGGGAUGCGGGAAGGAAUGCAGGUCGGGAUGCAGGCAGGGGUGUAAGAUGCAGGCGAGGAUACAGACAGGGGUGUAAGAUGCAGGCAGGGAUGCAGGAUGCAGGCAGGAUCGAGGAUGCAGGCAGGAUGCAGGUGGGACGCAGGCAGGAAUGCAGGACACGGGGAGGAUGCAGGCAGGAAUGUAGGAUGCAGGGAGGAAUGUAGGAUGCAGGCACGAUACAGGCAGGCAUGUGGGGUGGAGGCAGGACUCAGGAUGGAAGGGAAGGAGGAUGCAGGCAGGACGCAGGCAGCACAGAGCCGGUGCCUUUAGUGAGUGCUGCGGCUGCUGAGCCAAGGAGGAGUGGAGGGAAAGGGAGAGGCGACAAGAGUGUUUUGUCUGCAUCAACUCCUGGGCAGGGGGAAGGUGCGUGGGUAAACAGCGGUGCCGCUGACUCCAGCAUGGAGCUGCCUGACAGGGACAGCCCUUGUCCAAAGCAGCCACCUCCUGGUCAUCCCCUCAGACCACAGACGGAACAGCUCCGCUCUCCACAUUUCCAUACAUAGCAGCGAGGGGAAGAAGGCGACGGAAAAGCGCGGGUUGUGGUGGAAAGAUGGAAUAACAUCCUGGGCGAGAGCAUCCUUGGAACUCUCAGAGCUGCCUGGCACCAGGCGCGCUCAGGAUGUUUUGCUGCGCUCGGUGUUGUCGGUGUCACAACUCCGCAUCGCUUUAAAGGAACUUCAGCUGCCUUUGCACGUGGCUCGGGUGCACCCCGAGCUUCCAGGCCACCCCCUGCUCCCCACAACGCCGGGAGCCGGGCGGGAGGGUCACUAUGGGACCCCCUGACAAAGGGGCAUCCGAGGAAUACCGCACAGCGACAGUCUCCGCCUCCCGUCCCGGAGCUGUGCGGCGGGCUGACGGCCGCCGGAGGGCCAUCGUUGCCGCAGCACGCGGGGGAGCUCACGCGUUCCCGCCGUCGCUCUCACGUCGGGCCCCGGGGCCGCUCUCCGUUUGCCCGGGGUUGGGGCAGGGACGGGCCGGGCACAGGACAAGCCCUCGCUUGUUCCGUUGGGCGCGGGGAGCGCCGUUGCACAACGGAAUUCGUAUCUUACGUGUUUAGGGGACGGUGCGCGGCUGCGGCGGAACCCGCGGGUCGCCGAACGCCCGGUGCCGGUGGGCGCGCGGCGUUGGAGGGCGCUGCCCCUUUAAAUCGCGGCGGCGCGGAGCAGGGAAUCCCUCUCGCGGCGCGUCAUCCGCGGCGAGGAAACCCGCGCUGGCGUAGUGCGACGCAAAUGCCCAUUUUUGGCAACGUGCGCCAGUGGACGGCACCAAGAGGCUCCGGCCGGGCGGGGGGGGGGAGGAGGGAUUAACGGGAACCUACCGGCAGCCGGCGGGCGCGAGCCGGGGGCGAGCGAGGGGACAACGUGGGACGCGCGGGCCGC
Long non-coding RNA from Gallus gallus (chicken), 2164 nucleotides. NCBI's taxonomy places the organism in Eukaryota, Metazoa, Chordata, Aves, Galliformes, Phasianidae. The record is from Ensembl.